CCCAGACUCCUACGGGAGGCAGCAGUGGGGAAUAUUGGGCAAUGGGCGCAAGCCUGACCCAGCAACGCCGCGUGAAGGAAGAAGGCCCUCGGGUUGUAAACUUCUUUUAUCAAGGACGAAACAAAUGACGGUACUUGAUGAAUAAGCCACAGCUAACUACGUGCCAGCAGCCGCGGUAAUACGGAGGGUGCAAGCGUUGUCCGGAAUCAUUGGGUGUAAAGAGUUCGUAGGUGGCAUAUUAAGUCUGGUGUUAAAUGCAGAAGCUCAACUUCUGUUCGGCACUGGAUACUGGUAAGCUUGAAUGCGGUAGAGGUAAAGGGAAUUCCCGGUGUAGCGGUGAAAUGCGUAGAUAUCAGGAGGAACAUCGGUGGCGUAAGCGCUUUACUGGGCCGUAAUUGACACUGAGGAACGAAAGCCGGGGUAGCAAAUGGGAUUAGAUACCCCCGUAU
RNAcentral lists this ribosomal RNA (449 nucleotides) under uncultured bacterium. Its description in RNAcentral is "bacterial SSU rRNA". It matches the Rfam family "Bacterial small subunit ribosomal RNA", at positions 330 to 793 of the family's 1533-position model. The record is from RNAcentral.